GGGGGGGGGGGGGGGGGGGGGGGGGGGGGGGGGGGGGGGGGGGGGGGGGAGGGGGGGGGGGGGGGGGCGGGGGGCGGGCGGGUGAGUGACGCGGGGGGGACGUGCGUCAAGGGGGGGGGCAACAGUUGGAGGCGACUGCGCGUACCGCGUCAGGCCCCGGUGCCGCAUGGCGCGGAGGGGCACGUGGCAGUCCGCGUUGAGGUGGCCUCGCGGCCGAUUAGCGAGUUGGUGCGGUAACGGCCCACCAAGGCGACGAUCGGUAGCCGGACUGAGAGGUUGAACGGCCACAGUGGGAAUGAGACACGGCCCAGACUCCUACGGGAGGCAGCAGUGGGGAAUAUUGCACAAUGGGGGAAACCCUGAUGCAGCGACGCCGCGUGGAGGAAGAAGGUCUUCGGAUUGUAAACUCCUGUUGUUGGGGAAGAUAAUGACGGUACCCAACAAGGAAGUGACGGCUAACUACGUG
RNAcentral lists this ribosomal RNA (466 nucleotides) under uncultured bacterium. RNAcentral describes it as "partial 16S ribosomal RNA". The stretch from base 64 to 466 matches the Rfam family "Bacterial small subunit ribosomal RNA", at positions 39 to 507 of the family's 1533-position model. The record is from RNAcentral.